UGAGUAAGACAGACGGUCGCGUGGCGGCGGCGAAAGCCCCGUCAUGAGGAAAGUCCGGGCUCCAUAGGGCAAGGAUAACGGGUAACGCCCGCCGAAGGCGACUUCAGGAAAAGUGCAACAGAAAUAAACCGCAGACCGCGGCAGGCCUCCGGCCGUCCGCGAUCUGUAAGGAUGGAAAGGCGAGGUAAGAGCUCACCCAUCGGCUGGAAACUGUCCGAUGCUGUAAACUCUAUCCGGAGCAACACCGUGGGAGAACACAUAAACCGGCCCGGUUGUUCUCAAGGAGGUGGCUGGAGCGGUCUGGCAACAGACCGCCUAGAUAGAUGACUGUCAAAUACAGAACCCGGCUUAUAGUCUUACUCACUGU
This 367-nucleotide RNase P RNA is filed under the name Oscillibacter sp. RNAcentral's name for it is "RNase P RNA component class A". It matches the Rfam family "Bacterial RNase P class A". From Rfam's summary of the family: Ribonuclease P (RNase P) is a ubiquitous endoribonuclease, found in archaea, bacteria and eukarya as well as chloroplasts and mitochondria. Its best characterised activity is the generation of mature 5'-ends of tRNAs by cleaving the 5'-leader elements of precursor-tRNAs. The record is from RNAcentral. Lineage: Bacteria; Bacillati; Bacillota; Clostridia; Eubacteriales; Oscillospiraceae.